Molecule: transfer-messenger RNA, 353 nt
Filed under: Spirochaetia
Lineage: Bacteria; Pseudomonadati; Spirochaetota
Also listed under: 1 other name
Description: PWMO01 sp007693485 Standard tmRNA
Rfam family: transfer-messenger RNA
About the family: Bacterial tmRNA, also known as 10Sa RNA or SsrA, is named for its dual tRNA and mRNA-like properties. Its role is to liberate the mRNA from a stalled ribosome.
Source: RNAcentral
GGGGGUGUCACGGUUUCGACUGGGGAUGUGAUCAGGUAUACGUUGCAGGUGGAGCGCCUCUCCUUAACGGCAAACCUUUAUAGCUGCCAACGAAGCAGACUAUACCCUGGCCGCGGCGUAAGCCUUAGGUCACGGGCACCCGGGGCGCAGUUCUGAGCACCGGUGUUGCUUGACAGAAAUCAGGACUUACCUUCCGUUGCGUUCGCACAGCGGUAGGGACAUCACCGCGAACUAGGAGUGAUCAGGCCGGUUUCUUUGCCUCGUUCGCUCCGAAACACCAAUAGGAAACUAAACCUGUAGACGCGUAUGCCUCGCUCCUUAGGACGGGGGUUCAAUUCCCCCCACCUCCAUGG